Long non-coding RNA from Triticum aestivum (bread wheat), 512 nucleotides. RefSeq lists it as uncharacterized. The record is from RefSeq and is a predicted model, not a curated record. The transcript is spliced from 3 exons. Lineage: Eukaryota; Viridiplantae; Streptophyta; Magnoliopsida; Poales; Poaceae.
CCCUGGUGAUUUGCUACUGCAUCGUCUACUGCUUCAACCACGACGCCGUCAUCUACUGCUUGAACCACGAUGUCGGUUCUUCGUCGGCCUCCACCACGCGCGCUGGCAUCCGUCCAUCUCCGGCCAUGGUGACCGCGGAUCUCCGACCAUGAUGGGGUAAGGAGUUGAAAGGCGCAGGUGGUCAGGCCUGCAAUGAGUGCGCCCUCCUGGUCUGCCGCCCUUGCUAUGAGUAUGAACAUGAGGAUGGCGUACAACAAGGAGUUGACGGCCUACUCAAGCGCCAAGGGAAGGCGGCAGGCUGGCAGCGCCACCAAGAGCCCAACACGAACCUCCAAUAUUGAGUCCUACCUGUAAUUCACGGAUAAGGUUGGUUGUGCCCCUCUGCUGGAGGAUCUCAGUCCAACUACUCUGGAUGCAUCUAUGACAUGGUGGACAAGGCAGUAGAAGCAUGUGACAUGGCAGCCAAGGGAGUUGUUUUGUGGGAUGAAGUGUUCGUAAAGACAACAAGCCCC